Molecule: small RNA, 63 nt
Filed under: Pseudoalteromonas piratica
Lineage: Bacteria; Pseudomonadati; Pseudomonadota; Gammaproteobacteria; Alteromonadales; Pseudoalteromonadaceae
Description: Pseudoalteromonas sp. OCN003 Pseudomonas sRNA P26
Rfam family: Pseudomonas sRNA P26
About the family: P26 is conserved across many Gammaproteobacteria species and appears to be consistently located between the DNA directed RNA polymerase (beta subunit) and 50S ribosomal protein L7/L12 genes.
Source: Rfam by way of RNAcentral
AUGCUAGAUUAGCUGCCUGACCAAAAAUCAGGCAAGGGCUGGUGAAUUUUUAUUCACCGGCCU